This is a long non-coding RNA of Solanum tuberosum (potato), 764 nucleotides long. RefSeq lists it as uncharacterized. The transcript is spliced from 2 exons. Lineage: Eukaryota; Viridiplantae; Streptophyta; Magnoliopsida; Solanales; Solanaceae. The record is from RefSeq and is a predicted model, not a curated record.
AUUCAAUCAUUUACUUGUAAAUUUGGUCUGGUCAGUAAAAGAAUGCUACUUUGUUUAAUUUGCUUGAUGAAAUAAGAUUCUCCAAGUAAAGGAGUAGGAUUUCAUGAGUUGUGUUGAUAAAAGUCACUCUCUUGAGCAAGACUUAAUUGUGGAAAGAUCAAAAUAUUGUUUGUCUAUUUUCUGGUUACUUGUGAAAAGGUUGAGAGAAUAAUUUAUCCACUUUUUUCUCAAUAGAGCUGCUAAGUAACUUUGUGUCUCUUUCCGUGUCAUUGUGAUAGCACCUGUAUUGCAUUGAAUCUUCAUUUGUUACAUCGAUCCUUCAUAUGCAUGAGUGCUCGACACAUAUGGUUGGAGAUGGGUGUGAUAUGGGUUUGAAUACUUCCUGUGGAUCAUCAAAAGAGCUAGAUUUACUUGCAUUGGAUACCUAUGGGCGCCCCUGUUGGAUAUGUUGCUGAGACAAGCCCAAUAAAAUGGAACAGUACUAUGAUUGUUGCAAGACCAAAAUUUUAUCCUACUUUUGAGUCGGACAGGAUAGAACUUUAACUUGCAUAACAUCAAGGUGAUGAACCUGUAUGCAUGGAUGAAUACUAAGACCUACACUCCAACAUCAUACAUCUGAUUUCAGUCAUGGAGUUCUUUUCCCUUUCUUAAGGCCCUGAAAUCUUUUCACUUCUCAUUGAUGCGUAGUUUUUUUCUUUCUUGUCUUCAGUUAUAAGUGGUUAACAUCCAUUUCUGGCAAUCAACUCACAGAGAUUUUUCCUGAA